AGUCAACGUUGCCUUGGCCAGUAGGGUUGCGGCAAAGAACUCUGCCGGAUUUUGAGACUGCUAUUACAGUUCUGAGACAAGCUGUUGUUGAACAGUGUUGAAGCUAAUGAGACUUGUGUCCUGCUUAUUGUCCUCCAGUGCAUGGGCCUUUUGCAGGCAAAGUGCCCCUACACUAUGGGAAACGUAAAAGUGUUUUUCUUAAACGCAGGUGGAAGAACAAGCAGUCACAUUGUCAGUCACAUCUGACACAAAUAACAGCCAGGUAAAUUCUCCAAAUCCGCUUCCCAUGCAAUUCUUCCAGAAUCACAGCUACUUUUGGCUGAAAUUCACAGGAGAGUGCCAAGGCUGCCAUACUGAUCACAAUUCUUAUUUCAGUUAACAAGGACGUUUCCCUGGAGGUUCCUUGGGUUCCAGCAAAAUUCCAUGAACACUCCUUAAAAGCAGAAGUUUCUCAUUCCUACCUAGUAAAAAUGGGAAAUGUAUCUGCUGGAUAUUGUCUCUUGUUGUCCUAAAAGACAUAACACAACCCUAAUAAAACAAAAUGUGAGAAGGUAAGUUGUAGUGCA
This 566-nucleotide long non-coding RNA is filed under the name Anser brachyrhynchus (Pink-footed goose). RNAcentral's name for it is "lncRNA (ENSABRG00000004521.1)". Lineage: Eukaryota; Metazoa; Chordata; Aves; Anseriformes; Anatidae. The record is from RNAcentral.